Hemicordylus capensis (graceful crag lizard) is the source of this 1419-nucleotide long non-coding RNA. RefSeq lists it as uncharacterized. The transcript is spliced from 5 exons. The record is from RefSeq and is a predicted model, not a curated record. NCBI's taxonomy places the organism in Eukaryota, Metazoa, Chordata, Lepidosauria, Squamata, Cordylidae.
CAAGACGACAUGGGGCGGGGGGGGGAGCGGGGAGAGCAAAGACAAGAGAAACAGAAUUGGCAGGGGCAGGAAAGUUCCGUUUAUAUACAAAACUGAAACCACAAGGAAUGUGCUUCAGCUGAUCAACAGUGAAGCUCUCCUGUUCAGCUAGAUUUCUGUAUUUUAAAUGUCCCAUGCCCCAACUCCUUGCAUUGUACCCAACCAAAGCAGCCUACAAAAGUAAGCUGGAAACACAAAGGAUCUGGACAGUCCAAUGGACAACACCUGGGCCCUAUUCAGACAUCAUGUUAUUCAUAUGUACAGGUGUCUGCGCACAGGUUCUUGUUUUUGUGUGAAUGAUUGUACAAGUCUUCACUCUUUAAAAGUGAACAUAGGUGCAGGCCCCCUCAAUUGCAGGGUCAGAUAAGAGUAAUACUGUUUGUGCAUUGAACAUAACAGAAUUGUUAUGUGCUUACAGAUCAAUCUGUACAUUCAUUUAAUGUACAUCGAACGUGUGUGAAUAGAGCUCUUGUAUGUUGUUGGUGUAGCAGUUGCAGCUGGCCUAGCCUAGUAUUUUGCAAUGGCCAAAUCAUGGGUCAUCUUGCUAUUGUGUCUUCUGGGGGUUAGUAAAGCUAUACCCCAUUCCUGUCAUGGAGGUGCAAAUGCAGUGGUUAAGUUCUAAACUGAGAAGGGGCUAAGUUCAAGUGUGCCUGCAGCUCAUUCUCCAUGCCAAGAAAGCCAUAAUACCCAAGACUUCAGCGACACUGGCAUCUCAUUUUAAAUAAAUUUACUUGGUCCAAUGGAUUUGAAUGGAACUUGCCUCUAAGAAAAAGGAAAAUAAUAGGCAGCUUUUGGACGAUAGACCCUGACCAAUGCACCUGCACAACAUGCCAGCUCAUGAUUCUGUGCUGCAGUUGUAUGAAAGAGCAUACAAAAAGUGCAUUUUUCUCAUGUUUCCACUUUGAUCUAUAGUAAAAGUUCUCCUUCAUCAGAACUCUAUUUUCUUCACCAGUAUUUUCCACCUUGCCUGUCAUUCUCUGAGGUAAUCCACUAGGGUGACCAAGGCAGUUUUUGUCCCAUAUCCAGGACAGAAGGCAGACUGAAAAGGAUCCAAGUAAUCAGUUUUAUCCAGGACUACUUGGAGCUAAGAUGCCACCAUGUGCUGCAAUACCUCACCAAUAUAUGGUACUUCCAUGCAUAAAGACAUAUAGCUCUGAAUACCAGGUGCUGGGGGAAAGAACAAGUAAUGGCUGUCACCUUAAUGCCCUGCUUUUGUGAGCUUCCAGAAGUGUCUAGCUGGCUACUAUUGAUACUGCAUUAGAUGGCCAUUGGUCUAAUUCCAAGGCAAUUCUUAUAUGUGUAUGAUGAACAGGUGUUCUGCUUGUAUACAUGCAGCAGUCCAAAGGCCUUUGCUAAAUGAAUAAAGAGGCACCUUUAAAA